RNAcentral lists this transfer RNA (70 nucleotides) under Camelus bactrianus (Bactrian camel). It matches the Rfam family "tRNA". From Rfam's summary of the family: Transfer RNA (tRNA) molecules are approximately 80 nucleotides in length. Their secondary structure includes four short double-helical elements and three loops (D, anti-codon, and T loops). The record is from Rfam by way of RNAcentral. Lineage: Eukaryota; Metazoa; Chordata; Mammalia; Artiodactyla; Camelidae. RNAcentral also lists the same sequence under 2 other names.
GGAUAUAGCUUAAUGGUAGAGCACGUGCCUAGCAUGUAUGAGGUCAUGGGUUCAAUUCCCAGUCCCUCCA